RNAcentral lists this small RNA (957 nucleotides) under Pongo abelii (Sumatran orangutan). Its description in RNAcentral is "retained intron". The record is from RNAcentral. Lineage: Eukaryota; Metazoa; Chordata; Mammalia; Primates; Hominidae.
UCUUUAUAAUUGUAUAAUCUGAGUUUUUGCCAGACAGUAAAAUUAUGGUCUCCAUUUUUCCAUUUCCAUAAUAGCAUUUGUUAAUAGAUAAUUGCAAAACUGGUAGCAGUUUAACUAAACUAGUCAAAAGGAUCCCUCACUGCACUGCUAUGGAACUGGGGUCUGAAGCACAAAGAUAAACAUUAUUUAAUGUAAAACCAAAGUGACCUGGAAGCAAGAUUAUCUUAAUGCCUCUUUUGCAUCCAUACGCAUACAGCAUAAUGCUUAGAAAAUUUAAGUCUGACAAAAAUCAACAUAAACAUGCCAGUAUGAGUGUCUCAAUUGUAGCUAGGGCGGCCAACACUCUUAAAAGUUCUACAUUGUGUAUCAGUCUCAGAUACAGGAUGUGGUACAUUAAAAAAAAAAUGAUUACACUGUCCUGAAGCUUCUUUAUUGCUAGAUUUACUAUUUAGAAAAUCUAAUAAACACGAGUAUUUCUGUUUUUGUGUAGCACAGGGCUCCUUUGCCAUUUCUGUCAUUGAGCUGGUUCUGCCUACAAUUCACAGCAUCCCUUCAUGGCGGUGGCUUUCUGUGGUGCAGCUUGCAUCUUUGUGAGCUCUGACUAUCCACUGUGUUCUAUUGUUUUGAGUUUUGCUUUCACAUUUUGUUCUGUGCCUGUCUUUCCAUAAGUUUUGCAUUGUUUGUGGAAAGCAGUAAAGAUUGGCUAAUACUGACCAUGUUUUAUUUAACUUUUCACAGAUUCAGCUACUAGUGACUCAACAAAAUCUAAGGGUUCUUGGGGAUCUGGAAAGGAUCAGUAUAGCAGGGAACUGCUUGUGUCCUCCAUCUUUGCAGCGGCUAGUCGCAAGAGGAAGAAGCCAAAAGAAAAAGCACAGCCUAGCAGCUCAGAAGAUGAACUGGACAAUGUAUUUUUUAAGAAAGAAAAUGUGGAACAGUGUCACAAUGAUACUAAAGAGG